This 403-nucleotide ribosomal RNA is filed under the name uncultured bacterium. RNAcentral describes it as "partial 16S ribosomal RNA". It matches the Rfam family "Bacterial small subunit ribosomal RNA", at positions 30 to 526 of the family's 1533-position model. The record is from RNAcentral.
AUUGAACGCUUGCGGCAGGCCUAACACAUGCAAGUCGAGCGAGCGGCGUACGGGUGAGUAAUGUAUGGGGACUGCCCGAUAGAGGGGGAUAACUACUGGAAACGGUAGCUAAUACCGCAUACUAUCGGAUAACCCAUAUGGGAUUAGCUAGUAGGUGAGGUAAUGGCUCACCUAGGCGACGCUCCCUAGCUGGUCUGAGAGUAUGAUCAGACACACUGGGACUGAGACACGGCCCAGACUCGUACGGAGGCAGAAGUGGGGAAUAUGGCAAAAGGGGCGCAAGCCUGAUGCAGCCAUGCCGCGUGUAUGAAGAAGGCCCUAGGGUUGUAAAGUACUUUCAGUCGGGAGGCGUUACCGACAGAAGAAGCACCGGCUAACUCCGUGCCAGCAGCCGCGGUAAUUC